Molecule: non-coding RNA, 107 nt
Organism: Jatropha curcas
Lineage: Eukaryota; Viridiplantae; Streptophyta; Magnoliopsida; Malpighiales; Euphorbiaceae
Source: Rfam
AAGCUAUGAUGUGGGCACUUCCUCAAUAGGUCCUUGAAUCUCUCCCAAGCUUCAUACAAACUUUCUUGACAUUGGUGGGAAAAAGUCAUUAUCUCAUUGGGAAGCUU